GUUUAUCUUUGACCAGGCCAUGAAUUUUACUCAAGUUCUUAUUUCUUCAUCAGCAUGCUAUCAUUUUAUUAUCUGUACUUGUACAUAUUAGAAAUUGUCUCACAUGUAUGUUCUUGUUGAGUACUUGUACAGGGCUAAUUAUGAUAAAAUAUGUCAAAGAGAAGGUUAAGGAGAAGUCACUGGUUGCAGAAGACAUAACGAGGAAAAUCAGAGGAAACGGAAACACAGAAAAAUAGCAAAAAGUAUAAGUGAUCUCUAAAUUAGAGGAACAACCUCAUCAAAUUUUGUUCAUCGAAGAAGGUGUAGAGGAGAAUAAUACUGAUACUGGUGAAGGAACUGGUGAUGAUGAAUGCAUCUUUAUUAUUAAUGAACAAAACAUAGAAAAUGUAGGUUCUUUGCACUUGCAAGAUCAGGUAAAGUUUUAUUAAACCAGGGAUUCUAGUAUGAUAUUUAUCGCUUCUUAAAACUAAUGU
Molecule: long non-coding RNA, 473 nt
Organism: Humulus lupulus (European hop)
Lineage: Eukaryota; Viridiplantae; Streptophyta; Magnoliopsida; Rosales; Cannabaceae
Exons: 3
Source: RefSeq, a predicted model, not a curated record